UACAGAGGUCUCGAGCGUUAGGCGGAAUCACUGGGCUUAAAGCGUGUGUAGGCGGGUCGUUAAGUGCCUUGUGAAAUCCCAUGGCUCAACCAUGGAACUGCUGGGCAUACUGGCGAUCUUGUGCCCCCUAGGGGCGAGCGGAACAGAUGGUGGAGCGGUGAAAUGCGUAGAUAUCAUCUGGAACGCCAAUGGUGAAAACAGCUCGCUGGGGGUGUGCAGACGCUGAGACACGAAAGCCAGGGGAGCGAACGGG
Molecule: ribosomal RNA, 253 nt
Filed under: uncultured bacterium
Lineage: Bacteria
Description: partial 16S ribosomal RNA
Rfam family: Bacterial small subunit ribosomal RNA
Source: RNAcentral